AGCAUAUCAAUAAGCGGAGGAAAAGAAACCAACAGGGAUUGCCUCAGUAGCGGCGAGUGAAGCGGCAAGAGCUCAGAUUUGAAAUCGUGCUUUGCGGCACGAGUUGUAGAUUGCAGGUUGGAGUCUGUGUGGAAGGCGGUGUCCAAGUCCCUUGGAACAGGGCGCCCAGGAGGGUGAGAGCCCCGUGGGAUGCCCGCGGAAGCAGUGAGGCCCUUCUGACGAGUCGAGUUUGUUUGGGAAUGCAGCUCCAAGCGGGUGGUAAAUUCCAUCUAAGGCUAAAUACUGGCGAGAGACCGAUAGCGAACAAGUACUGUGAAGGAAAGAUGAAAAGCACUUUGAAAAGAGAGUGAAACAGCACGUGAAAUUGUUGAAAGGGAAGGGUAUUGCGCCCGACAUGGGGAUUGCGCACCGCUGCCUCUCGUGGGCGGCGCUCUGGGCUUUCCCUGGGCCAGCAUCGGUUCUUGCUGCAGGAGAAGGGGUUCUGGAACGUGGCUCUUCGGAGUGUUAUAGCCAGGGCCAGAUGCUGCGUGCGGGGACCGAGGACUGCGGCCGUGUAGGUCACGGAUGCUGGCAGAACGGCGCAAC
RNAcentral lists this ribosomal RNA (585 nucleotides) under Pichia kudriavzevii. RNAcentral describes it as "eukaryotic LSU rRNA". It matches the Rfam family "Eukaryotic large subunit ribosomal RNA", at positions 37 to 643 of the family's 3401-position model. The record is from RNAcentral. Lineage: Eukaryota; Fungi; Ascomycota; Pichiomycetes; Pichiales; Pichiaceae.